GUGUGUGUUUUCAUGCAAGUAAUAUUUCAGUCAUUUAAUUUCAUUUCUCCGUUGUUCCUUCAGAUGCGGUGGGAUUAUCGUGUUUGAUCUUCGGGCUAUUCCAUUUUGACCUCGGCGACAAACUCAAUUCAGUCAUCUGUUAGUCUUCAUUAAAUUAAAACAGUUUCGUGUGGUGAAGCUUUACAAUGUGUGAAACAAGUAGGUUUGUUUAAUGAAGUUCAUCACAUCCAAUCGUAUGGUCGUAUUUCCUGGGUCUUAAAUUACGAUCGGACAACACGGUAAUCGAGGCGGUGCUUCACAAACACGGAUGCAUAAACCGCGAUUUUUUUAAACCGUUCACCGUUUAUCAGUUUUCGAAUUAAUACACGUUGUGUUCCGCGAAAGUGUUUAAGUCGGCUGUAUUUAUCGUUUAACUGAAUAAAAAGUUUUUUAACAUGCAUUGUUCAAAUCGAGUGCUAGUUGUCUGGGAAACGGAAACGCGCAAACUAAAGACGCAGGAUGUGACUCGCGAGCCAACAAUUUCAACUUUAGAAACUUAUCUGGGCGACCAUGCUUCGGGCUGCCAGAGAUAAAGACGGACAGUCCUUAGAAGUUUAUUCUGAUGAUGAAUGUAAUACUGCAUUAGCAGGAAGAAUAAACAUGUUGGGGAAAAUAAAUGCAGCUUCGCGUGAGAGCAGCGAAAUCCACAGGGAAACGCCUGGGCGGCAACCCGUAACGUUACGCCAGCUCUACUGGAAACACACUCACCUGUGGCCCGCUAGUGUAGUCUCUUGUGCUAUUCAGCGUAGUCAUCGUAUCAUUUAUCGCUGUGCUCAUCUCCUUCUUGUACAUCGUAUUAAAAGAUCUAUGAGCAGAGAGGGUAACCACUGAAGAUGGAUCAGAAGUGAGACUCCUAGAAGUAUGACCGGACAUUCUUUCCACAUGGGCUACAGUUUUGGCAAUACUCAACGGCAUAGUAGCUGCGCUCACUCUUAUAUGGUAUCUCGCCUGAUGCAUCUCCACUACGGCCCAUAUGUGGAUACCUUGACUGACAUUUAACUUGCAGGUUCCAGGAAGAGAUUCCAAGUUUAAAUAGUUCACCCCAAAACGAAAAUUUCCUUAAGAUUUAGAUGAGUUUGCUUCUUCAUCGGAACUUCCGCACCAGUGGAUCCUCCAUCCCAUAAUUUUCAUUUUUGGUUGAACAAUUGCUUUAGUGGCAGAAGGAGCUGACAAAUAAAGUUACUAAUAUAACUACAGAUAAAACUUUUUUUUUUUUAAAUGGCUCAAAAACAAACACAUAGGAUAGAAUUCUAGUUGUAUUACAUUAAAUUUUCUUAGUAAUUCAGACAAGUACAGUGUUUUAUUUUUUUAGAGGAUUUCUCACAUUUUCUUAUGUUAAUUUGACAAAUUCAAUGAACGCACAAUGGUUUCUUAAUGGACUACAUUUUAUAAAAAAAUAAUUGAAUAUAAUAGCUA
Carassius auratus (goldfish) is the source of this 1455-nucleotide long non-coding RNA. RefSeq lists it as uncharacterized. The record is from RefSeq and is a predicted model, not a curated record. The transcript has 3 exons. Lineage: Eukaryota; Metazoa; Chordata; Actinopteri; Cypriniformes; Cyprinidae.